UGUUUCGGCAAGGGGGUCAUCCCGACUUACCAACCCGAUGCAAACUGCGAAUACCGGAGAAUGUUAUCACGGGAGACACACGGCGGGUGCUAACGUCCGUCGUGAAGAGGGAAACAACCCAGACCGCCAGCUAAGGUCCCAAAGUCAUGGUUAAGUGGGAAACGAUGUGGGAAGGCCCAGACAGCCAGGAUGUUGGCUUAGAAGCAGCCAUCAUUUAAAGAAAGCGUAAUAGCUCACUGGUCGAGUCGGCCUGCGCGGAAGAUGUAACGGGGCUAAACCAU
This 281-nucleotide ribosomal RNA is filed under the name Escherichia coli. Its description in RNAcentral is "partial 23S ribosomal RNA". It matches the Rfam family "Bacterial large subunit ribosomal RNA", at positions 911 to 1190 of the family's 2925-position model. Lineage: Bacteria; Pseudomonadati; Pseudomonadota; Gammaproteobacteria; Enterobacterales; Enterobacteriaceae. The record is from RNAcentral.